Molecule: ribosomal RNA, 549 nt
Filed under: uncultured bacterium
Lineage: Bacteria
Description: bacterial SSU rRNA
Rfam family: Bacterial small subunit ribosomal RNA
Source: RNAcentral
AGGGAAUCUUCGGCAAUGGGCGGAAGUCUGACCGAGCAACGCCGCGUGAGUGAAGAAGGUUUUCGGAUCGUAAAGCUCUGUUGUAAGAGAAGAACGAGUGUGAGAGUGGAAAGUUCACACUGUGACGGUAUCUUACCAGAAAGGGACGGCUAACUACGUGCCAGCAGCCGCGGUAAUACGUAGGUCCCGAGCGUUGUCCGGAUUUAUUGGGCGUAAAGCGAGCGCAGGCGGUUAGAUAAGUCUGAAGUUAAAGGCUGUGGCUUAACCAUAGUACGCUUUGGAAACUGUUUAACUUGAGUGCAAGAGGGGAGAGUGGAAUUCCAUGUGUAGCGGUGAAAUGCGUAGAUAUAUGGAGGAACACCGGUGGCGAAAGCGGCUCUCUGGCUUGUAACUGACGCUGAGGCUCGAAAGCGUGGGGAGCAAACAGGAUUAGAUACCCUGGUAGUCCACGCCGUAAACGAUGAGUGCUAGGUGUUAGACCCUUUCCGGGGUUUAGUGCAGUAGCUAACGCAUUAAGCACUCCGCCUGGGGAGUACGCCCGCAAGGUUG